This 241-nucleotide ribosomal RNA is filed under the name uncultured bacterium. Its description in RNAcentral is "partial 16S ribosomal RNA". It matches the Rfam family "Bacterial small subunit ribosomal RNA", at positions 94 to 334 of the family's 1533-position model. The record is from RNAcentral.
AGCGGCGGACGGGUGGGUAACGCGUGGGUAACCGUGCCUCAUACAGGGGAGUAACAGUUGGAAACGACUGCUAAUACCGCAUAAGCGCACAGUACCGCAUGGUACCGUGUGAAAAACUCCGGUGGUAUGAGAUGGACCCGCGUCUGAUUAGCUAGUUGGUGGGGUAACGGCCUACCAAGGCGACGAUCAGUAGCCGACCUGAGAGGGUGACCGGCCACAUUGGGACUGAGACACGGCCCAA